AGUGGCGGACGGGUGAGUAACGCGUGAGAAUCUGCCUUGGGGUCGGGGACAACCACUGGAAACGGUGGCUAAUACCGGAUACGCCUUCGGGUAAAAGAUUUAUUGCCCUAAGAGGAGCUCGCGUCUGAUUAGCUAGUUGGUGAGGUAAGAGCUCACCAAGGCAGCGAUCAGUAGCUGGUCUGAGAGGACGAUCAGCCACACUGGGACUGAGACACGGCCCAGACUCCUACGGGAGGCAGCAGUGGGGAAUUUUCCGCAAUGGGCGAAAGCCUGACGGAGCAAGACCGCGUGAGGGAGGAAGGCUCCUGGGUUGUAAACCUCUUUUCUCAGGGAAGAAGCUCUGACGGUACCUGAGGAAUCAGCCUCGGCUAACUCCGUGCCAGCAGCCGCGGUAAUACGGAGGAGGCAAGCGUUAUCCGGAAUUAUUGGGCGUAAAGCGUCCGCAGGUGGCGAUUCAAGUCUGCUGUCAAAGCACGGGGCUUAACUCCGUAAAGGCAGUGGAAACUGAAUAGCUAGAGUGCCGUAGGGGUAGAGGGAAUUCCCGGUGUAGCGGUGAAAUGCGUAGAGAUCGGGAAGAACAUCGGUGGCGAAAGCGCUCUACUGGACGGCAACUGACACUCAGGGACGAAAGCUAGGGGAGCGAAUGGGAUUAGAUACCCC
RNAcentral lists this ribosomal RNA (660 nucleotides) under uncultured bacterium. RNAcentral's name for it is "bacterial SSU rRNA". It matches the Rfam family "Bacterial small subunit ribosomal RNA", at positions 94 to 788 of the family's 1533-position model. The record is from RNAcentral.